AGCCUUUGUAGCUCAACGGUAGAGCGAGAUACUGUUAAUAUCCUGAUAAGUGUUCGAUUCACUUUAAGGGCUG
This 73-nucleotide transfer RNA is filed under the name Usnea subfusca. RNAcentral's name for it is "tRNA-Asn". It matches the Rfam family "tRNA". Rfam says of the family: Transfer RNA (tRNA) molecules are approximately 80 nucleotides in length. Their secondary structure includes four short double-helical elements and three loops (D, anti-codon, and T loops). The record is from RNAcentral. Lineage: Eukaryota; Fungi; Ascomycota; Lecanoromycetes; Lecanorales; Parmeliaceae.